This 508-nucleotide ribosomal RNA is filed under the name Bacillus velezensis. Its description in RNAcentral is "bacterial LSU rRNA". It matches the Rfam family "Bacterial large subunit ribosomal RNA", at positions 1372 to 1874 of the family's 2925-position model. The record is from RNAcentral. Lineage: Bacteria; Bacillati; Bacillota; Bacilli; Caryophanales; Bacillaceae.
GCUCAGGGUUAGUCGGGACCUAAGCCGAGGCCGAAAGGCGUAGGCGAUGGAUAACAGGUUGAUAUUCCUGUACCACCUCCUCACCAUUUGAGCAAUGGGGGGACGCAGGAGGAUAGGGUAAGCGCGGUAUUGGAUAUCCGCGUCCAAGCAGUUAGGCUGGGAAAUAGGCAAAUCCGUUUCCCGUGAAGGCUGAGCUGUGAUGGCGAGCGAAUUAUAGUAGCGAAGUUCCUGAUUCCACACUGCCAAGAAAAGCCUCUAGCGAGGUGAGAGGUGCCCGUACCGCAAACCGACACAGGUAGGCGAGGAGAGAAUCCUAAGGUGAUCGAGAGAACUCUCGUUAAGGAACUCGGCAAAAUGACCCCGUAACUUCGGGAGAAGGGGUGCUCUGUUAGGGUGCAAGCCCGAGAGAGCCGCAGUGAAUAGGCCCAGGCGACUGUUUAGCAAAAACACAGGUCUCUGCGAAGCCGUAAGGCGAAGUAUAGGGGCUGACGCCUGCCCGGUGCUGGAA